UCCGGGGUAGCUCAGUUGGCAGAGCGUUUGACUGUUAAUCAAAAUGUCGCGAGUUCGAGCCUCGCCCCCGGAG
Molecule: transfer RNA, 73 nt
Filed under: Microthrixaceae bacterium
Lineage: Bacteria; Bacillati; Actinomycetota; Acidimicrobiia; Acidimicrobiales; Microthrixaceae
Also listed under: 1 other name
Description: tRNA-Asn
Rfam family: tRNA
About the family: Transfer RNA (tRNA) molecules are approximately 80 nucleotides in length. Their secondary structure includes four short double-helical elements and three loops (D, anti-codon, and T loops). Further hydrogen bonds mediate the characteristic L-shaped molecular structure. tRNAs have two regions of fundamental functional importance: the anti-codon, which is responsible for specific mRNA codon recognition, and the 3' end, to which the tRNAs corresponding amino acid is attached (by aminoacyl-tRNA synthetases). tRNAs cope with the degeneracy of the genetic code in two manners: having more than one tRNA (with a specific anti-codon) for a particular amino acid; and 'wobble' base-pairing, i.e. permitting non-standard base-pairing at the 3rd anti-codon position.
Source: RNAcentral